GUGUCUGGUGGGUAGUUUGACUGGGGCGGUCUCCUCCUAAAGAGUAACGGAGGAGCACGAAGGUUGGCUAAUCCUGGUCGGACAUCAGGAGGUUAGUGCAAUGGCAUAAGCCAGCUUGACUGCGAGCGUGACGGCGCGAGCAGGUGCGAAAGCAGGUCAUAGUGAUCCGGUGGUUCUGAAUGGAAGGGCCAUCGCUCAACGGAUAAAAGGUACUCCGGGGAUAACAGGCUGAUACCGCCCAAGAGUUCAUAUCGACGGCGGUGUUUGGCACCUCGAUGUCGGCUCAUCACAUCCUGGGGCUGAAGUAGGUCCCAAGGGUAUGGCUGUUCGCCAUUUAAAGUGGUACGCGAGCUGGGUUUAGAACGUCGUGAGACAGUUCGGUCCCUAUCUGCCGUGGGCGCUGGAGAACUGAGGGGGGCUGCUCCUAGUACGAGAGGACCGGAGUGGACGCAUCACUGGUGUUCGGGUUGUCAUGCCAAUGGCACUGCCCGGUAGCUAAAUGCGGAAGAGAUAAGUGCUGAAAGCAUCUAAGCACGAAACUUGCCCCGAGAUGAGUUCUCCCUGAGACUUAGAGUCUCCUGAAGGAACGUUGAAGACGACGACGUUGAUAGGCCGGGUGUGUAAGCGCAGCGAUGCGUUGAGCUAACCGGUACUAAUGAACCGUGAGGCUUAACCUUACA
Molecule: ribosomal RNA, 680 nt
Filed under: Salmonella enterica
Lineage: Bacteria; Pseudomonadati; Pseudomonadota; Gammaproteobacteria; Enterobacterales; Enterobacteriaceae
Also listed under: 2 other names
Description: partial 23S ribosomal RNA
Rfam family: Bacterial large subunit ribosomal RNA
Source: RNAcentral